AAAGCUCAAAUUUAAAAUCUGGCAGCCUCAGGUUGUCCGAGUUGUAAUUUAGAGAAGUGUUACCCGUGCUGGACCGUGUACAAGUCUCCUGGAAUGGAGCGUCAUAGAGGGUGAGAAUCCCGUCUUUGACACGGACUACCAGUGCAUUGUGGUGCGCUCUCGAAGAGUCGCGUUGUUUGGGAAUGCAGCGCAAAAUGGGUGGUAAAUUCCAUCUAAAGCUAAAUAUUGGCGAGAGACCGAUAGCGAA
Molecule: ribosomal RNA, 247 nt
Filed under: Marasmius sp.
Lineage: Eukaryota; Fungi; Basidiomycota; Agaricomycetes; Agaricales; Marasmiaceae
Description: partial 28S ribosomal RNA
Rfam family: Eukaryotic large subunit ribosomal RNA
Source: RNAcentral